Priapulus caudatus is the source of this 488-nucleotide long non-coding RNA. RefSeq lists it as uncharacterized. The record is from RefSeq and is a predicted model, not a curated record. NCBI's taxonomy places the organism in Eukaryota, Metazoa, Priapulida, Priapulimorpha, Priapulimorphida, Priapulidae. The transcript is spliced from 3 exons.
GCCGCGGAGGGUCUGAGUUUUGGCAGCGUCGCCGAGGCGCUGAGCGGCAAGCUGUCCCUGAUGCCGAUCCAGUUUCGACCGACACCCGAGCCGGAAAAUUCGUCGCAGGGCUUCAACCUGCAGGCAGCUGUGAGCUUCAUAGAGAAAGGGUGGAUGUCUGUAAUGGAAGACAAAAGAAAAGGCAGGCAAGUUGUGUACUGGAGAGACCAGUGAACGAGAGUGCUUGUGGAGAGUUACAAGCUGACACGCCGUUGCGGAUUCUCUCGCGACGCCGCCGUCUCCGUUCGUUUUCUCGUGCGUGGCCGUUGGACAUUGCGUGCCAUCUGACUGUUAAUUGCUCGUGGGGAUGAGGCGACAGGAGUGUGCCACAACGCGUGUUUAGAAGUAAAAAGCUACUGAGCGAAGCCAGCAGCGUUGUAGUGUAGGUUAGUGCGUGUGGUUGCGCGCAUGUGUGCGUGCGUGUGGUUGCGUGUGUGUUUGUAUGUGUG